CUUUAACCCACUGUGCAGGCUGGUGAUCAAACCUGUGUCCUGGAGCUGCAUAGAUCCCACAGAUCCCAUUGCACCACAGUGAGAACUCCUUCUUCUUCCUUAAAUUACUCUUUCUUUCCUAAGAGUUUUAUUGUCCCUCGGAGAAGAGAAAACUGCACGGCCGUGCCCUUUGAGACUGCUUUGAGACCUUGCUCUCAACAAAGAGUAAAGUAUUUAGAGCUUCUAAUUCCACUUUUCCUUAAGGGAGGAUGAACUCUGUAGCAAUUACCUUGUGACUUCUGAGGAUCACCUUUGGAAGGCUUGGUGUUACGAACAUUGGGAUAAGAAUUUUACAAAACAUCAAAAAGGUAUUGAAUUGAUAAGUAAAAGAACUGCCUUUUGAGCGUUGCAUGAGAGGAAAAUGUACAAUUUCAGNCUUGCUGUACAGUGGGAAAAUAAUAAAAAAAAAAAAUAAGUAAAAGAACUGCCUUUU
RNAcentral lists this long non-coding RNA (472 nucleotides) under Sus scrofa (pig). RNAcentral's name for it is "lncRNA (ENSSSCG00055025705.1)". Lineage: Eukaryota; Metazoa; Chordata; Mammalia; Artiodactyla; Suidae. The record is from RNAcentral.